Molecule: long non-coding RNA, 642 nt
Organism: Ceratosolen solmsi marchali
Lineage: Eukaryota; Metazoa; Arthropoda; Insecta; Hymenoptera; Agaonidae
Exons: 2
Source: RefSeq, a predicted model, not a curated record
UAUACAAAAUAUUGUCGAGUGCAUGUAUGAAAAUUUAUAUAUUUAACCAUAUUAUCAAAAACUUUAGAAAAGACUUUCCCAUUCAACCAAUUGUCGAAUACGACCCGAAUUUUAGAUUCUAGAUCAAUGUUAAGUUUACACUAACAAUAUCAUCAGUUACUCAUCAGAUUGUCUUAUCCAACUAAUUUGUACAGAAAGCGAGCCGACGAAGAAAAAGUAGGUGAUAGAUGAUAAGACAUUAAAAGGAUCGGUUGAUAAUAGUAAAAAGAAUCGGACAAAGCACACAUUAUUUUUGCAGAAACUAUGUUCGCAGUGGGGCUCACGAAUCAAAGAUAACGAUGGCGAUGGAUUCAUACUCGAAAUAAUAGAAAUAGUUUCAUUUUUUAACAGAGCCUACAUUCUUAAAUGACCUUCUAAUACCUCAAGGAUAGAACGUCAGAAAAAUUGAGAUGCCAAGAAGAAGCAGCUUUUGCUCAAUAAUAAUCAAUAUCUAGUGCUUUUCUUACAUCUUACCUUAAAUCAUACCUUUACAGAUAUUCUGUCAAUGAAAUCUUUAUAACUAUACAUUUAUUAUAAUGCUCAAGAUGAAUGUUAAUAUGACUUAAAUUACCAUAGCAAUAAUAAAUUUUCAUACUCUUUUAA